Molecule: non-coding RNA, 27 nt
Filed under: Bombyx mori (domestic silkworm)
Lineage: Eukaryota; Metazoa; Arthropoda; Insecta; Lepidoptera; Bombycidae
Source: RNAcentral
UGACUGGGAACAUCUAGGCCUCAACAU